GACGAACGCUGGCGGCGUGCCUAAUACAUGCAAGUUGAGCGCUGAAGGCUUGUACUUGUACCAACUGGAUGAGCAGCGAACGGGUGAGUCACGCGUGGGGAAUCUGCCUUUGAGCGGGGGACAACAUUUAGAAACGAAUGCUAAUACCGCAUAAAAACUUUAAACACAAGUUUUAUGUGUGAAAGAUGCAAUUGCAUCACUCAAAGAUGAUCCCGCGUUGUAUUAGCUAGUUGGUGAGGUAAAGGCUCACCAAGGCGAUGAUACAUAGCCGACCUGGUAGGGUGAUCGGCCACAUUGGGACUGAGACAGGGCCCAAACUCAUACGGGAGGCAGCAGUAGGGAAUCUUCGGAAAUGGACGAAAGUCUGACCGAGCAACGCCGCGUGAGUGAAGAAGGUUUUCGGAUCGUAAAACUCUGUUGGUAGAGAAGAACGUGGGUGAGAGUGGAAAGCUCAUCAAGUGACGGUAACUACCCAGAAAGGGACGGCUAACUACGUG
RNAcentral lists this ribosomal RNA (497 nucleotides) under uncultured bacterium. RNAcentral describes it as "partial 16S ribosomal RNA". It matches the Rfam family "Bacterial small subunit ribosomal RNA", at positions 28 to 507 of the family's 1533-position model. The record is from RNAcentral.